Molecule: ribosomal RNA, 490 nt
Filed under: Bacillus sp. MAL 12
Lineage: Bacteria; Bacillati; Bacillota; Bacilli; Caryophanales; Bacillaceae
Description: bacterial SSU rRNA
Rfam family: Bacterial small subunit ribosomal RNA
Source: RNAcentral
AAGCAACGCGAAGAACCUUACCAGGUCUUGACAUCUUUUGACAACCCUAGAGAUAGGGCUUUCCCUUCGGGGACAGAGUGACAGGUGGUGCAUGGUUGUCGUCAGCUCGUGUCGUGAGAUGUUGGGUUAAGUCCCGCAACGAGCGCAACCCUUGAUCUUAGUUGCCAGCAUUCAGUUGGGCACUUUAAGGUGACUGCCGGUGACAAACCGGAGGAAGGUGGGGAGGACGUCAAAUCAUCAUGCCCCUUAUGACCUGGGCUACACACGUGCUACAAUGGACAGAACAAAGGGCUGCGAGACCGCAAGGUUUAGCCAAUCCCACAAAUCUGUUCUCAGUUCGGAUCGCAGUCUGCAACUCGACUGCGUGAAGCUGGAAUCGCUAGUAAUCGCGGAUCAGCAUGCCGCGGUGAAUACGUUCCCGGGCCUUGUACACACCGCCCGUCACACCACGAGAGUUUGCAACACCCGAAGUCGGUGAGGUAACCUUUAU